AAUAUUGGACAAUGGGGGCAACCCUGCUCCAACCAUGCCGCGUGUGUGAAGAAGGUCUUCGGAUUGUAAAGCACUUUAAGUUGGGAGGAAGGGCUUUAGGUUAACACCCUGAAGUUUUGACGUUACCAACAGAUUAAGCACCGGCUAACUCUGUGCCAGCAGCCGCGGUAAUACAGAGGGUGCAAGCGUUAAUCGGAAUUACUGGGCGUAAAACGGGCGUAGGUGGUUCAGUAAGAUGGGUGUGAAAACCCCGGGCUUAACCUAGGAACUGCUUUCAUAACUGCUGAGCUAGAGUACGGUAGAGGGUAGUGGAAUUUCCUGUGUAGCGGUGAAAUGCGUAGAUAUAGGAAGGAACACCAGUGGCGAAGGCGACUACCUGGACUGAUACUGACACUGAGGUGCGAAAGCGUGGGGAGCAAAC
Molecule: ribosomal RNA, 421 nt
Filed under: uncultured bacterium
Lineage: Bacteria
Description: partial 16S ribosomal RNA
Rfam family: Bacterial small subunit ribosomal RNA
Source: RNAcentral